CUAAGCUGAAAUGACGUCACUUGGUGAGUUUAUUCGCCCUCCGAAGCAUUGAUUGGAAACAUCGAAGGAUUCAUUUCCUUUGUUUAGAGGUGACAGCCAUAAAAAGGACGAAGAUAAUCGCUUCCACCCUUCAUGCAGGCUCUUGUGAAAACAGCCAUCUUGAAAGAAAACAGUUCAAAACAGGCAGCACUUUAACGUUUUGACCUGAGCGUCUGUCAUCUUCAGGGCCUUGGCGAGAGUUGCGCGCUCCGCGGACGCCAGAUACUUCUGCCGGUGGAAGCGUUUCUCCAGCUCACAGAUCUGCACGCGGCUGAACGACGUGCGGGGCUUUUUCCGUUUCGGUGGAGUUCGGUUCUGGUACGGAUGGCCGAUCCGUCGUGUCACGGAGAACGGUGAAAGAGCAGCUGAAAAACAAGAUUUAGGAGCUAUGUCAGGUGUGCCGAUUGGAGAACAAAUCUAAUAACAAAUUUCCCAGAAACACUCCUCCGCAGAUACAUAUGUGGGUCAAAUGGAAACAAAAACAAUCCCCGUAUUCAGUCUCGACAGCAGAGGGAAUUCUAAAUGAUAAGUCUGGGUAAUAAAAUUUAUGGUGAGCACAUCAAAAAAUCAAAGCUUGCCUUAGAGAAUAUGCGACCAGUAAUAAAAUCAGUUAUACGUGAUAUCACCUUCAUGCGACAGCGCCUGCCUUUCCCAUUGCGCAUAUUACCUUUGUUGAAAUCUAAUAAAUAUACAUGUAAUGGUUUCAAAGCGCGAUAUUGAAAUGUAACAUGGGCAUUUGUCGCUAUUUGAGGCAAAACAAAAUGUGCCUUUAAAUUUCCACUCAUGCUGGGAAUUGAAAUAUCGAAUAGAAUAAAAUAAUUGUCAGGAAAUGCCAUAAACCGACCGCUCGAGAGCCUCGUCUUCCCUUCAGACACUGUCACCAUGGCUACACGGCCUCGUCUCAGUUUCAUAAUCAUUUGUAUUUAUGGGUGGGAAAGAUCAUUAUUGUCAUUUCAGAUAGAGGGGCAUCCACAUGCAAUUUCAUUUUCCAGUUUCUCCAAGGCCAGUGCUAUCAGAUUACGACCAUCACCUGCCCCUUGUUGUGAUGCAGCUGGACCCAACAGCCCUCUCCAGCAGCGGUAAUACAAAUAAAUGUACCUACUGAUGAA
Molecule: long non-coding RNA, 1148 nt
Organism: Carassius gibelio (silver crucian carp)
Lineage: Eukaryota; Metazoa; Chordata; Actinopteri; Cypriniformes; Cyprinidae
Exons: 3
Source: RefSeq, a predicted model, not a curated record